UGCCUUUUCACACUGGGUGAGACCCCAA
RNAcentral lists this non-coding RNA (28 nucleotides) under Homo sapiens (human). Lineage: Eukaryota; Metazoa; Chordata; Mammalia; Primates; Hominidae. The record is from RNAcentral.